CGUCCCAUCCCGUUCCAUUCUCUUCCAUUCUCUUCCAUGAUCUCCCUAGACCAAAGUCUUUCAGGAAAAGCUCAAACCUGGAAAUGAGCUGUGUGUUCUGUGUGCUGGGGUAACCUGACAGGUCACAGUCAGGGACAGACCCCCUGUGCCUCAGGCUGUAGGAAAAGGCUCCCUGUGGGACAGGCAGGACUGAUGGCCUCGGCGUGGGAAUCACCAAGAGCCAUUCCGAGGCUGCACUCCUUGGGAAGACAGUUCACAUCUACCUAAAGGGGAGUAAAGGCUGUGACCACCAUGGGAUGGCCACAGUCACCUGUCCUGUGUGGGCACAAACUCAGAGCACAUGGCCGUGUUUCAGAGCGUGUCUGAUGCAUCCCACUGGGUACAUCCAUCGCUCCAAAACUGCUGCAUCCCAAAAUGCUCUGAAGCACCAUGGCUGUGCUACAUCCCAGAGCAGCUGUGGCUGCUCCUGGAUCCCUGGCAGUGAACAAGGCCAGGCUGGACAUUGGGGCUGGGAGCACCUGGGACAGUGGGAGUUGUCCCUGCCAUGGCAGGGAUGAAAUGGAAUGAGCUGUAGGGUCGCUCCCAACCCAAACCAUUCCAGGUUCUGUGAUUCCACAAUCCCAGUGCACAGCCCUGUUCCAGCCAGUCCUGUGCUGUCACAAUGAAGACAUCCUUGUCCCCUAUGGAAUGUGUGACACCCUCAUCAGCACCACAGCAGCCCUUGGUGUUCAUUGAGGAGCUCACUACAGCUAAGCUCACCCUGAAUGCAGCCUCAUCAUCUGUCCUUCAGCUCUGUAAAAUGAAGAUAUUUGGGGGAAUGGGGUCUUUGCCACAUCCUGAGAUUGCUUUUAAAUUCAUUUAUCCUAUAUAUUUCCAGAAAUUCGAUUUUAAAUCACCCUGAUAACAACCUGGCAGAAGUAGAAAACACAAGUUCUGUCCUUGGCUCUCUGCUGGGCAGCAUGAGGAGGCAGGAGGGCUUCAAGUGAGGGAAGUAAUUGGGAUUUCAUCUCCGAGCAGAGUGGAGCAGACAGAUCAGCAGAGGGCAGGAGCUGCAGUGCCCUGAGGUGUCCCCAGGACAGGAUUAAAGGAGGCCUUUGCAGCGCUCAGCUCUGUCUGAGCUCCUGUCCCCUUCCUGUGGAUAUUCUCAGUUCAGCUGAAGAAAGAACAGAGAUAAUUUAUCCCAGGCUGAGUCUGGAAAUCUUAGAAGAAAGAAUUAAAACAAUUAUUAUCUCUCUUUCUGUAA
This is a long non-coding RNA of Passer domesticus (house sparrow), 1243 nucleotides long. RefSeq lists it as uncharacterized. The transcript has 2 exons. Lineage: Eukaryota; Metazoa; Chordata; Aves; Passeriformes; Passeridae. The record is from RefSeq and is a predicted model, not a curated record.